Long non-coding RNA from Mauremys reevesii (Reeves's turtle), 718 nucleotides. RefSeq lists it as uncharacterized. The record is from RefSeq and is a predicted model, not a curated record. The transcript has 5 exons. Lineage: Eukaryota; Metazoa; Chordata; Testudines; Geoemydidae.
CUCAUUUCCAUUGGAGAAUGAUCUCCCAUUCCAGCAAAAGCUGAUUUGAGUGCUGCUGUUCCAUCCCCAGAGUGGAAAUGAAGACCCUGCUCUGAAGAACAUAGAGCAGCCAGUUGCAGUACUGCUGCUGGUCCACCUGGGGGAAAGGAACGCUGCUUUCGCAACAAGCCCAGUGGAUGGACCUGAACCAGAUCUCCAGAUCUGAACAUCCCUGUUCUUAGCAUAUAGCGGCACAACACUAGAGCUGGGCAGGGACAGUUCUCCCAUCCCAUGAAAACUGGAGAUUUCAAAUAAUUUCCCAUUGUACAUCAGGAUGAAUAUUUGCAUUUUUUUAGAGAUCCACCCAGAAUAGCGUCAUGGUCAGGGCCCUCAUCUAGUAUCUGAUUGUGCUUGAGUCUCCGCUCUUCCUCCUUCAGAAGAAGGACUUGAACCUGGUUCUCCCCCAGGGCAGCAGGCUUUAUUGAAGAGGCAGCAUAGCCAAGAUCUCUAAAUAGGAGUGUAUUGAAAUUCUGGGCCCAGAUCCUGAGCAAUUGCCGAGGAGCCCUAAGCAAAGCUCAGGAUGGGCUAUGUGAUUCACUACUGAACCAUAUUAACAGAGUCAGCUGAGGCAGAGUUGCCUGAACUGGAGGAGGAGGAUGUGUGGCAUCUGGACUUAAUAUAGCACCUUCUUCAACUGAUUGGAGACACUGAAUACUACUGAGACAUUUCUGCAUGAAGC